This 650-nucleotide ribosomal RNA is filed under the name Frateuria sp. AD120. Its description in RNAcentral is "bacterial SSU rRNA". It matches the Rfam family "Bacterial small subunit ribosomal RNA", at positions 795 to 1442 of the family's 1533-position model. The record is from RNAcentral. Lineage: Bacteria; Pseudomonadati; Pseudomonadota; Gammaproteobacteria; Lysobacterales; Rhodanobacteraceae.
CCACGCCCUAAACGAUGCGAACUGGAUGUUGGUCUCAACUCGGAGAUCAGUUUUGAAGCUAACGCGUUAAGUUCGCCGCCUGGGGAGUACGGUCGCAAGACUGAAACUCAAAGGAAUUGACGGGGGCCCGCACAAGCGGUGGAGUAUGUGGUUUAAUUCGAUGCAACGCGAAGACCCUUACCUGGCCUUGACAUGUCUGGAAUCCUGCAGAGAUGCGGGAGUGCCUUCGGGAAUCAGAACACAGGUGCUGCAUGGCUGUCGUCAGCUCGUGUCGUGAGAUGUUGGGUUAAGUCCCGCAACGAGCGCAACCCUUGUCCUUAGUUGCCAGCACGUAAUGGUGGGAACUCUAAGGAGACUCCCGGUGACAAACCGGAGGAAGGUGGGGAUGACGUCAAGUCAUCAUGGCCCUUUCGUCCAGGGCUACACACGUACUACAAUGGUCGGUACAGAGGGUUGCAAUACCGCGAGGUGGAGCCAAUCCCAGAAAGCCGAUCCCAGUCCGGAUCGAAGUUCGCAACUUGACUUCGUGAAGUCGGAAUCGCUAGUAAUCGCGGAUCACCUAUGCCGCGGUGAAUACGUUCCCGGGCCUUGUACACACCCCCCGUCACACCACGGGAGCCAGUUGCUCCAGAAGCCGUUAGUCUAACCGC